AAAAAAACUUUGUAAGAUAAAAUAUAAUUUUUUAAGAUAAAAUACCCUUUACUAGAAAAUUAAAAAUUAAUAGUUUUAGAAUAAAAAAGAAAAAGCGUUUGUGAAUGAAUUGGAUGGCGGCAUUGUAUUGUCGGCAACAGUAGGCACAAGCUUAGAACUAUAUUCCUCCAUUGAAGAACAUCCAUCUUAAGCAUACAUAGUGAAGUGAAUCUCAUAAAUUCUCAUAUUCGACUGCGUAAAUUGUGAGUCAUAUUCUUUACAUGUUUACUUGGCAGCUGAGAAGGAUAAAGGGAUCUUCUUCAUCUGAGAUUUCGUGAAAAGUGUUGAGUUUUAGAAGUGGAGAAAGAUGAGAGAAUUACAAAUGAAGAGCAAUGAUGCAUAUAAGAAGCACCAAGAAGGCAAGAAGACAGAAGUGGUUUCAGAAAUAGGAAUGAUGCAUAUAAAAAACACUAAGAAGGGAGUAGUGUCAGAAAUAGGAAUUUGGAGCUUCUAGAUUUAUAUUAAUUAUUAAAUGAGAUUCGUCACACUCUCCUAGCAUUUUGUUUACGCACCAGGAUAAAGUCGUGUAGUUGAGGGCUUAUAGUAGUAAUAUUAAUACUAUGUAUGUCCAUCUUAUAAAUUAUAAUAGUUUGAACAUUUUUCUUUAUAUAA
Beta vulgaris subsp. vulgaris (sugar beet) is the source of this 651-nucleotide long non-coding RNA. RefSeq lists it as uncharacterized. NCBI's taxonomy places the organism in Eukaryota, Viridiplantae, Streptophyta, Magnoliopsida, Caryophyllales, Amaranthaceae. The transcript has 2 exons. The record is from RefSeq and is a predicted model, not a curated record.